Molecule: long non-coding RNA, 815 nt
Organism: Gossypium arboreum
Lineage: Eukaryota; Viridiplantae; Streptophyta; Magnoliopsida; Malvales; Malvaceae
Exons: 2
Source: RefSeq, a predicted model, not a curated record
GAAUAGGGACUGGUUAAAAAAGAGCAAGAAAAACGCGUAGGAGUACAACGGCUAGUUCCCAUAAGGGAGGCGGCUUCCCUCUCCCUCACUUAUUUUCACUUCCCUCUCUGAUUGAAUUUUCUGCUGCCUCUCCCAUUCACUCCAUUUUUUUCCUGUUUUCAGCUGAGUCUCUGAUUGAUUUUUUUUUCUGGUUUUUUCCCGGUUUCUGGAACGUUUUAGCACUCAGGCAGCUUUGUUUCGAUUUCUUUUAUCUGAUUUUGAUCGACAGUUCCAUUCUGUUAAUUCAACUCUACUUUUUUGGGUUUCUUGCUUCGAUUCUAUUUUGGUUUGGAUUUUGAUUUGCACACCAAAUGCAUCAGGAUCUACCAUUGUUUCUCAGUUGCGGCCUGAGUUUUAUGAUCCCAGGAAGGCUCUUUUUCAGGCAUCGGACUUGGUCCUUUUCGAAGGAUCAAGUAAAUCAGUAGAUUUAUAUGUUUUUUUUUUUACCAAGAUUGCAACUAUAUUCACUCCUCGUGGGCAACAUCAAUGGAGAUCCCCAGCAGGAUGCUCAUGUUUUCACAGACGGUGAUGAUACAAGGUGAGCAAAGGGAAGAUGGGCCUCUGCUGGUUGCAAAACUUCAUAAUAUUAGAUUUGUAUCUAUAAGGAAACAAAUAGCAAAGGGUCUUGAUUGUUUUGUUAGUAUUAAUACGUACACGUUAGAAUCUAGAAAAUGUUGUUACUAUGACACAAUUUCUUUUUUCCAUCCUGGUAAUUAGUAAAACUUGUAAAUUUUAUGCAAUAAAUAAAAUUUUCUCAACUCAUUUAAUAAUGGAAA